CAGCCGCCGCGGGAAAACGGAGGGGGCUAGCGUUGUUCGGAAUUACUGGGCGUAAAGCGCACGUAGGCGGCUUGGUAAGUUAGAGGUGAAAGCCCAGGGCUCAACCCUGGAACUGCCUUUGAUACUGUCGAUCUGGAGUAUGGAAGAGGUGAGUGGAAUUCCGAGUGUAGAGGUGAGAUUCGUAGAUAUUCGGAGGAACACCAGUGGCGAAGGCGGCUCACUGGUCCAUUACUGACGCUGAGGUGCGAAAGCGUGGGGAGCAAACAGGAUUAGAUACCCCCGUAGUCCCUGUCUCUUAUAC
This 301-nucleotide ribosomal RNA is filed under the name uncultured bacterium. Its description in RNAcentral is "partial 16S ribosomal RNA". It matches the Rfam family "Bacterial small subunit ribosomal RNA", at positions 509 to 807 of the family's 1533-position model. The record is from RNAcentral.